AAUGAACGCUGGCGGCGUGCUAACACAUGCAAGUCGAGCGAGAAAGCCCCUUCGGGGGUGAGUAAAGCGGCGGACGAGUGAGUAACACGUGAGGACCUGCCCUUUAGUGAGGAAUACCCUCGAGAAAUCGAGGUUAAUGCUGCAUACGUUUUCCCAGGGAAACCUGGGAAGGGAAAGGUGGCUUUUAUGCUACCGCUAGAGGAUGGCCUUGUGGCCUAUCAGCUUGUUGGUGGGGUAAUGGCCCACCAAGGCGAUGACGGGUAGCCGGCCUGAGAGGGUGAUCGGUCACGCUGGAACUGAGAUACGGUCCAGACUCCUACGGGAGGCAGCAGUGAGGAAUCUUGCGCAAUGGGCGAAAGCCUGACGCAGGACGCCGGUGGGGGAUGAAGGUCUUCGGAUCGUAAACUCCUGUUAAGUGGGAAGAAAAGCUCAUCUCUAAUAUAGAUGAGUCAUGACGGUACCACUAGAGAAAGCACCGGCUAACUUCGUGCCAGACAGC
RNAcentral lists this ribosomal RNA (499 nucleotides) under uncultured bacterium. Its description in RNAcentral is "bacterial SSU rRNA". It matches the Rfam family "Bacterial small subunit ribosomal RNA", at positions 29 to 515 of the family's 1533-position model. The record is from RNAcentral.